AAGUCGUUUUUUAAAAAAAAUUUUUUUUAGUGCACAAAAAAGUAAAUUUCAAAAUUUCACGAUAAA
This 66-nucleotide transfer RNA is filed under the name Acanthogyrus cheni. Its description in RNAcentral is "tRNA-His". The record is from RNAcentral. Lineage: Eukaryota; Metazoa; Acanthocephala; Eoacanthocephala; Gyracanthocephala; Quadrigyridae.